AGCACCUCUUUCCGAGCGGAGAGCGCGCGCCGUUUCCUCCCCUGGUGUCCCAUCGCGGCUUGGGACCCGACAAGAUGGGCAAGAAGGGCAAGAAGGAGAAGAAGGGCCGCGGCGCGGAGAAGACGGCCGCCAAGAUGGAGAAGAAGGUGUCUAAGCGCUCGCGGAAGGAGGAGACGUGACUGAGCCCAGUCGAAUCACACUGACUGGAGGAAAGCUGAGCGGGCUGUGGCUCCGCAGUGGGUCCUGGGAACAAGUCUCAUGUGUGCCUGCUUGCUUGCCCUAGGAAGACCUGGAAGCGCUCAUAGCCCAUUUCCAGACACUCGAUGCCAAGAGGACUCAGACUGUGGAAGCUCCGUGCCCCCCGCCCUCACCAAGACUUUUUUGUAUAACGAGCUCUAUGUCUACAAUAUCAGAAAGGACACCUGGACCAAAGUUGACAUCCCCAGUCCACCUCCGAGGCGCUGUGCUCACCAGGCGGUGGUGGUGCCUCAAGGUGGCGGACAGCUGUGGGUCUUUGGAGGGGAGUUUGCCUCUCCGAACGGAGAG
This 546-nucleotide small RNA is filed under the name Pongo abelii (Sumatran orangutan). Its description in RNAcentral is "processed transcript". The record is from RNAcentral. Lineage: Eukaryota; Metazoa; Chordata; Mammalia; Primates; Hominidae.